ACAGCCACCUCCGUCAUCUCACCCUCUCUAGUUUGACAUGAAGCCGCCACCGGAGCCGGACUGGAGAGGAACUCGACGCGGCAUCGUUUCGUUCAUCGAGCGCGUUGCAUUAUUUCGAAGUUCGCCGGAGGUCAUUGGAGUUGAGUCACUCGAAACACGAAGAUAGACGACACCGCACAUUCGCAGAGAACCGAAUUCACCGGAACCGAACGGUGGUCGACGGGAAGCCUUUUCGACGCAUUUCGGUAUACCGUCUCAUUCCUUUGUCUUUUUUUCGUUCAGUCACCAGGAAUACCAGUGGCGGAUCCAGAAUUUUUUUCAUCAGGUUCCUUUUACUAGAUUUUCACUAAUUCUCACUAUUUUUUUUCUAAAACAUAUAACAUUUCCACUAUUUUUUCAUUUUUUUUCCAAACCGAGGGGGUUCCCCGGAACCCCCAAAACACCCCUGGAUCCGCCACUAAGGAAUACGCAUCUUGUUCUAGUGGUCAAGCAACUAAGUAUUUGAGAUCAUAACAAACAGUCACGUAAAUAUUCCUUUUAAAUAAAGAAGAUGAUAACUGGAAAUAGUUUAUAAAUGAAAUAAUAGUUUAAACACUUCAUAAGAAUUGAUUGCAGACUAGUGGUUGUCGCUCUAGUUUAGAUCGUCCGAGGUCUCUGGUUCGAGACCAAUCCCUGUUUUUUUUUUCGCUGCACCUUUUAUUUCCUUUUAAAACCAUUAAAUGAGAAUGACUAGUUCUGUUUAAACAUUAUUAACACGAAUCAGCAGCAGCCCAGUUGGUUGUUGCGUUGCUGGGAUACAAAAUGUCACAAGUUCGAUUCCAGAUUCCUUGUUCCUAAAUAAAUGCAUCGGUUUUAUCAUUCUUUUAACCUGAACUUUUUCUUCCUAUUUACAAUAAAAAGUUUUAGAAAUUUGUUAAUAACUUAAUUAAACAAUUCUUUAAACCAUUAAAGGAUGAAUUAUAAUGUCCAAUCGAUUAACUUAUAAACCAUAAAAUUUAGAAAUAUUAUUUAACAUAUUAAAAAUUAAUAAGAUAAUUUACAUGUUUUAUUUUUUUUCACAUUUAGGAUAACCAUUUCGUUCUCUUGGAUUAUUCUUCAAUCCUUACUUGUGCGUUAUUUUAAGAAAUUCUUCACGCAAAUCAAUGUUGUGAUGAUACAAGGAAUCUAGUAGAAUUGCUUAGAAACGCAUUUAAAUUUUAAUACUUGCAAACCCGUUUUAAUUGGUUCCCAAUCUUGUCGCAUUUUAUAAACCAUUAUUAUGAAAUGAAAUUUAUUUACUUGAAUACUUGUCGCAUUUUAUUUAUUUCAAACUUGUGGUAUUUAUAGUUCAAACAAUGUAAAAUGAAAUCAUUAAAUACUUGACACAAAUAGCGUUAUGAUGUCUCUUGCGAUCUAUUUCGUCUCAUCCCGAUGUUUCCGCCAUCGGUUGGGGUGUGACAACUGUGUUCUGUAAGCACCGUAUAAUGUAAAACAUUGUUGGUUAUCAAUAAAACAAUAUGCUUUGGU
RNAcentral lists this long non-coding RNA (1506 nucleotides) under Helianthus annuus (common sunflower). RNAcentral's name for it is "hypothetical non coding rna". The record is from RNAcentral. Lineage: Eukaryota; Viridiplantae; Streptophyta; Magnoliopsida; Asterales; Asteraceae.